UACAGAGGUCUCAAGCGUUGUUCGGAUUCAUUGGGCGUAAAGGGUGCGUAGGCGGCGAGGUAAGUCGGAUGUGAAAUCCCGGGGCUUAACCCCGGAACUGCAUUCGAUACUGCCUUGCUCGAGUACUGGAGAGGAGACUGGAAUUUACGGUGUAGCAGUGAAAUGCGUAGAUAUCGUAAGGAAGACCAGUGGCGAAGGCGAGUCUCUGGACAGUUACUGACGCUGAGGCACGAAGGCCAGGGGAGCAAACGGG
This 253-nucleotide ribosomal RNA is filed under the name uncultured bacterium. RNAcentral describes it as "partial 16S ribosomal RNA". It matches the Rfam family "Bacterial small subunit ribosomal RNA", at positions 524 to 776 of the family's 1533-position model. The record is from RNAcentral.